CCUACGGGUGGCACCAGUGGGGAAUAUUGCACAAUGGGCGCAAGCCUGAUGCAGCCAUGCCGCGUGUAUGAAGGAGGCCUUCGGGUUGUAAAGUACUUUCAGCGAGGAGGAAGGCGUUAAGGUUAAUAACCUUAGCGAUUGACGUUACUCGCAGAAGAAGCACCGGCUAACUCCGUGCCAGCAGCCGCGGUAAUACGGAGGGUGCAAGCGUUAAUCGGGAUUACUGGGCGUAAAGCGCACGCAGGCGGUCUGUCAAGUCGGAUGUGAAAUCCCCGGGCUCAACCUGGGAACUGCAUUCGAAACUGCAGGCUAGAGUCUUGUAGAGGGGGGUAGAAUUCCAGGUGUAGCGGUGAAAUGCGUAGAGAUCUGGAGGAAUACCGGUGGCGAAGGCGGCCCCCUGACAAAGACUGACGCUCAGGUGCGAAAGCGUGGGGAGCAAACAGGAUUAGAUACCCCGGUAGUC
RNAcentral lists this ribosomal RNA (463 nucleotides) under uncultured bacterium. RNAcentral's name for it is "bacterial SSU rRNA". It matches the Rfam family "Bacterial small subunit ribosomal RNA", at positions 338 to 795 of the family's 1533-position model. The record is from RNAcentral.